CGGGAGGCAGCAGUGGGGAAUAUUGCAUAAUGGGCGGAAGCCUGAUGCAGCAACGCCGCGUGCGGGAUGACGGCCUUCGGGUUGUAAACCGCUUUCGCCUGUGACGAAGCGUGAGUGACGGUAAUGGGUAAAGAAGCACCGGCUAACUACGUGCCAGCAGCCGCGGUGAUACGUAGGGUGCGAGCGUUGUCCGGAUUUAUUGGGCGUAAAGGGCUCGUAGGUGGUUGAUCGCGUCNGAAGUGUAAUCUUGGGGCUUAACCCUGAGCGUGCUUUCGAUACGGGUUGACUUGAGGAAGGUAGGGGAGAAUGGAAUUCCUGGUGGAGCGGUGGAAUGCGCAGAUAUCAGGAGGAACACCAGUGGCGAAGGCGGUUCUCUGGGCCUUUCCUGACGCUGAGGAGCGAAAGCGUGGGGAGCGAACAGGCUUAGAUACCCUGGUAGUCCACGCUGUAAACGGUGGGUACUAGGUGUGGGGUCCAUUCCACGGGUUCCGUGCCGUAGCUAACGCUUUAAGUACCCCGCCUGGGGAGUACGGCCGCAAGGCUAAA
Molecule: ribosomal RNA, 546 nt
Filed under: uncultured bacterium
Lineage: Bacteria
Description: bacterial SSU rRNA
Rfam family: Bacterial small subunit ribosomal RNA
Source: RNAcentral